UUUAAAAUAUUGAAGCCGCAACGGUGAAUCUUACUUCCUUGGUGGUGCAGUGGGACUGAUUGAAGCUACAACAGUGAAUCUUGUUCCCCAACAUUGCAAUUAAAGAGAUUGAAGCCACAACGGUGAAUCUCACUUCUCCCUAAGUAGUAGUGGAGCAGACGAAAGAAACCAAUCCUAUCUUCCUGGAGUUGCAGUGGAGCGGAUUAAAACCACAAAUCUCAUCCCCUAAAGGCACAGUGGACUUGAAUGAAGCUACUUGAAGAGAAGCACCCAAAGAAGUCAAGCCCCGGCGAGACCAGGCAAAUUUGGUCCUUCUUACUCUUUGCUCUGUUCUCGUUACACAAGAACGAGCAAAGAGGGGCAGCUGUAGAAGCCCAAAUUUGCUGGCCCAGUAAAAAUAAAAACAAUGGCCCAAAACAAAAAUUAAAAAAACCUAGCCCAACUAAACCCAAAACCAACAGCAAAAAGAUAGCAGAAAAAGAAAAGAGAACCCUAGGUGCGCCGCACCAGGGCCGCCCUUAGGCCUGCCAUUGCCACUGCCUCUGUUCGUCGCUGCCGCACGCCUCCUCCACGCGUGUCUGACACCUGCAAGAGACCACCAAACAAGGCAACAACAGUAAUAAAUGGCAAAAGACAAGAAUUGGAAACAGAACGGUUUUUGUAAUUUGGCUAUAAAAAAGCCACAAUAUCUCUUUGUAUUUUUUUUUACGAACACCCAUCGAUAAAUCAAAAAUCAGAAACUGAAGCUCCAAAAGGUUGUUCUUCUUUAAAAAAACUGUUAUCUUCGUUCUCUUUUUCAUAGUUUUUGUUUUGUUUUUCCUUUUCUUUUAUUUCAAAUCUAUUUAAAAGUAAUUAAAAAACAAAAAAAGGAAAAAGGAAGGUUACCUGAAUCGGCCCCUAGGCCCGCCGUCGAUGGUGAUUCACCGUCGCCGGAUGUGGGUUCAAGGAGGGGCCGAAGUUCUUCUCUUUCCCCUCAUCUCUUCGUUCCAUGGCCUCGUCCCAUGAGCGCGUUUCAAGGCGCCGAUAGGAGCCCUCUUCGCAC
This 1042-nucleotide long non-coding RNA is filed under the name Gossypium raimondii (Peruvian cotton). RNAcentral describes it as "long non-coding RNA (GRAI_LNC002820)". The record is from RNAcentral. Lineage: Eukaryota; Viridiplantae; Streptophyta; Magnoliopsida; Malvales; Malvaceae.